Molecule: ribosomal RNA, 253 nt
Filed under: uncultured bacterium
Lineage: Bacteria
Description: partial 16S ribosomal RNA
Rfam family: Bacterial small subunit ribosomal RNA
Source: RNAcentral
UACAGAGGUCUCAAGCGUUGUUCGGAUUCAUUGGGCGUAAAGGGUGCGUAGGUGGCGCUGUAAGUCAGGUGUGAAAUUUCGGAGCUUAACUCCGAAACUGCACUUGAUACUGCGGUGCUUGAGGACUGGAGAGGAGACUGGAAUUUACGGUGUAGCAGUGAAAUGCGUAGAUAUCGUAAGGAAGACCAGUGGCGAAGGCGGGUCUCUGGACAGUUCCUGACACUGAGGCACGAAGGCCAGGGGAGCAAACGGG